This 162-nucleotide ribosomal RNA is filed under the name uncultured bacterium. RNAcentral's name for it is "partial 16S rRNA". It matches the Rfam family "Bacterial small subunit ribosomal RNA", at positions 355 to 510 of the family's 1533-position model. The record is from RNAcentral.
UAGGGAAUCUUCCACAAUGGGCGAAAGCCUGAUGGAGCAACGCCGCGUGUGUGAUGAAGGGUUUCGGCUCGUAAACACUGUUGUAAGAGAAGAAUGACAUUGAGAGUAACUGUUCAAUGUGUGACGGUAUCUUACCAGAAAGGAACGGCUAAAUACGUGCAG